Odobenus rosmarus divergens (Pacific walrus) is the source of this 962-nucleotide RNA transcript. It is a transcript of the gene named olfactory receptor 6N2-like, with no coding region annotated. Lineage: Eukaryota; Metazoa; Chordata; Mammalia; Carnivora; Odobenidae. The record is from RefSeq and is a predicted model, not a curated record. The transcript has a single exon.
CAUGGAACCGCACAACCACUCGAGCUUAGCUGAGUUUGUACUCCUUGGUUUCCCCAAAGUGGGCCACAUCAGGAGCUGGCUUUUUGUCCUGCUGCUGUUGGCAUACCUGUUCACCAUCUGUGGCAACAUGCUCAUCUUCUUAGUUAUACGACUGGAUGCAGCCCUGCGCACACCCAUGUACCACUUUGUCAGUAUACUCUCCUUCCUGGAGCUGUGGUAUACAGCCACCACCAUCCCCAAGAUGCUGGCCAAUCUUCUCAGCGAGAAGAAGACCAUUUCCUUUGCAGGAUGCCUCCUUCAGACCUACUUCUUCCACUCCCUAGGGGCCUCUGAAUGCUACCUUCUUACAGCCAUGGCCUAUGACCGAUACCUGGCCAUCUGCCGGCCCCUCCACUACCCUGCAGUUAUGACCCCAACACUCUGUGGCAAGAUGGCUGCUGCCUGUUGGACUUGUGGCUUCCUGCGUCCCAUUUCUGAAGUCAUCCUGGUCUCCCAGCUCCCCUUCUGUGGCUAUAAUGAAAUUCAACACAUCUUCUGUGACUUUCCACCUCUGCUGAGCCUGGCCUGCAAGGACACAACCACUAAUGUCCUCGUUGACUUUGCCAUCAAUGCCUUCAUCAUUCUUAUCACCUUCCUCUUUAUUAUGGUUUCUUACGGAAGAAUCAUUGGUGCCGUACUGAAGAUAAAAACAGCAGCGGGGAGAAAGAAGGCCUUCUCCACCUGUGCCUCACAUCUCACUGUGGUUCUCAUCUUUUUUGGCAGCAUCAUCUUCAUGUAUGUGCGCCUAAAGAAGAGCUACUCUCUGACACUUGACCCGUCACUUGCUGUAGUCUACUCUGUGCUGACACCACUGGUCAAUGGUCAACCCAAUUAUCUACAGUCUUCGUAACAAGGAACUCAUUAAGGCCAUCAAGAGGACCGUCUUCCGGAAAGGGGGGAGAGCUAGUCCUACUCACCACUGA